This 297-nucleotide ribosomal RNA is filed under the name Neosisyphus fortuitus. RNAcentral describes it as "partial 16S ribosomal RNA". The record is from RNAcentral. Lineage: Eukaryota; Metazoa; Arthropoda; Insecta; Coleoptera; Scarabaeidae.
UAUUUUGAUUGUGCAAAGGUAGCAUAAUAAUUAGUUUUUUAAUUGAGAACUGGUAUGAAUGGUUGGACGAGAAAAAAUCUGUCUCAAUUUAAUUUUAAUUAGAAUUUUAUUUUUAAGUUAAAAAGCUUAAAUAAUUUUAAAAGACGAGAAGACCCUAUAGAGUUUUAUAAAAUAUUGUAUUUUUAAUAAUUUUAGUAUUUUAUCAAUUAAUUAUAAAUUUUUUAUUUGAUUGGGGUGAUUAAAAAAUUUAAAUAACUUUUUUUAAAAUAUUAACAUUUAUAUAUGAAUAAUUGAUCC